Long non-coding RNA from Vicia villosa (hairy vetch), 1076 nucleotides. RefSeq lists it as uncharacterized. The transcript has 3 exons. The record is from RefSeq and is a predicted model, not a curated record. Lineage: Eukaryota; Viridiplantae; Streptophyta; Magnoliopsida; Fabales; Fabaceae.
AAAGAAAUUCACCUACGCAACGGGCAGUAUUUGAAUAUCUUAAAGGGAGAGUGUUAGAUGUAUAUCCUAAAUAUAAGAAAGAAGCUAAGGAUCAUCUAUCAAAAGUUGUUAAGUUGAAUCCAUUAGAAGAAACACUCCUUCCCCUUUUCAACGAAAUAACUGAGUCAUAUCAGAUCCUAAUAUCUUCGGAAGGUCUUCAGAACAAGAAAGAAUGACCAUAUAGUUCUGGCGGGAAGGUGAUAUACUUUAUAAGCUUCAUCAUCCAAAUGUGGUGGAAUUUUAUGGGGUAGUUCAAGAUGGACUAAGAGGAACAAUGGCAACUGUCACGAAGUUCACAAUGGAUCUGAAAAUGCCUUAGACAAACAAGGUUACCAAGUUCCCUUGACAAUUUUGGUUGAUAAAGAAAGGAACAAAGCUGUGUAUGCUGAGUCAGGUAAUGAUUUUGUUGAUGCUCUUUUAAGCUUUUUAACAUUACCUUUAGGGACAGUCAUAGCUUCAGGUCCUGCGAAUAGUUCAGGAACAACAAAUACGGCGGGUCCUUCACCAAGGUCAGCACCCUUGACUCAUACUCCUAGAGAUGCUAUUUCAAUGCCUGCUUUGCCUCAUAAUGGCAAUUCUUCAAAGCCUCUAAUGAUGUUUGGCACUGAUGGCACCGAGAUUCUUACGUCACCUUCAAACCAUAAAAAUUUAACAUUGAUGCUGAAUAAAUUUGUUUCUUUUUUGUCAGUGCAUUGAGGUAUAUACAGUUGACAAUGAAGAACAAGGAGUCGGAUGAAAAAUUGUGUUUUCUGAAUCUUGCUUUUUGAUUUUAUGGUUUACUUUAUGCCUUUUGAUGUAUAGGGUUCGGUUUAUUCUUUUUAAUUCUAUAGGUUUGGAUGAAGAAUGGCUGAAGGUGUUAACUUUCCAUAGGAAUGGGUGCGCGUAUCAACCGAAGGUGUUAACUUUCCCGUUGGUGCAUUUGCAUCCCUUUUCUAUUCUGUUGUUACUACUGACAUAUAUGGUUUCAAAUGUUAUACCCUAUCAAAUGAAAAGGGAAUAUUGAAUGCAUUAGGUUUGCGUACACUUACAUCAAUCCG